Cucurbita pepo subsp. pepo (vegetable marrow) is the source of this 3687-nucleotide non-coding RNA. The record is from RefSeq and is a predicted model, not a curated record. Lineage: Eukaryota; Viridiplantae; Streptophyta; Magnoliopsida; Cucurbitales; Cucurbitaceae.
CUUUCUUGCUUCUUCUUCUUCUUCUUCUUCUUCUUCUUCUUCUUCUUCCUCUUCUUCUUCUUCCUUCUCUACUGAUCUCCCUUUUCCUCAUCCACUUCACUGAUCUCCUUCAUUCUACUUCCAACUUCCCAAUUGCGCUCAACGAACCAGGGUUUCUAUUGUUCUUUCCUGCUCUGCUGCAAUUCGCGUCACUUCCGUUCUUCUUCCAGGCUGCUAUAAAAAAAACCUACCCUUUAUGCUUCGUGCACGUACUGUUCCUCCCCUACCCCCUCCCCACUCAAAUGGUGUGGCCUCUGAGACUUGAUUUGUUCUGAAUGACGUGGAAGUAUAAAUUCUGGGGGGGUUUUGUAUUGGUACAGUACCGCAAUUCAGCUUCAAUUUGAGUGACUGGGGUUUGGAGCUGCUACAGUUUACAGUGUAUGAACCGCCCUCUGGAGAAAUGCAACCUCAGCACAGCUCCAGAAUUGAUAUAGGCGACUUGAAAGCUCAGAUAGUUAAGAAACUUGGAAAUGACAAGUCAAAGCGGUACUUCUUCUACUUGAGCAGAUUUUUGGGUCAGAAACUGAGCAAGUUUGAGUUUGAUAAGAUGUGCGUCCGUGUGCUUGGAAGGGAGAAUAUUCAGCUCCACAAUAAAUUGAUAAGGUCAAUUUUGAAGAAUGCAUGUGUAGCCAAGACCCCACCACCAAUAAAUGGGUCAGGACAUGCACAGUCUAUGCUACAAGCUUCAAACAACUCACCUUGCAGGGAAGAUGGCCCUGAACAUAAUGGAUCUACUUUUCCGAAUCAGAAUCAGGCUAUGCCAAUUUGGCCAAAUGGAGUUCUUCCGGUAUCCCCACGGAAAGGGAGAUCUGUCUUACGUGGAAAGUUUAGGGAUAGGCCGAGUCCGCUUGGUCCGAAUGGAAAAAUCACAUGUCUUUCGUAUCAAUCAUCUGGUACUGAAGAUAGCAGCAGCAAAGUUAUUACAGAGAAUGGUAAUGUAAACAUGUGUGACUAUCAGAGACCGGUACAGCAUCUUGAAGCAGUAGCUGAGCUACCUGAGAAUGACAUAGACGGAGCAGUUCUGCGGCCAUCAGAAAAACCAAGAAUACAUCCAACAGAAGCAGCUGUUCUUGAAGAUAGAGACGAGGUGGAACAGUCAGAUCCCUUAAGCAUCCUCAGAGGUCCUCUACUUCCACCUCUUGGUAUUCCCUUUUGCUCAGCUAGUGUAGGUGGGGCACGCAAGGCUUUGCCAGUUGGUAGCAGUGGCAGUAGUCGUGAUUUUCUGAGUUGUUACGACAGUAUUGGAUUGUCUGAUUCAGAGACGGUGAGAAAACGAAUGGAGCAAAUUGCAACUGCUCAAGGGCUUGAAGGUGUUUCUAUAGAAUGUCCCAACAUCUUGAAUAACACCCUGGAUGUGUACCUGAAGCAAUUGAUCAAGUCUUGCCUUGAGUUGGUGAGAUCAAGGUCUACAAUUGAACAUACAGGGCACCCUAUCCAGAAGCAACAGAAUCAAGGGAAGGUUAUAAAUGGUAUGCGGCCCAGUAACCACCAACACGUACAGAAUAGCAACGGGCGGUCUGAAGUUUUGCAGGAAAAGAGUUUAGAAUGCUCAGCGUCAUUGCUCGAUUUCAAAGUUGCUAUGGAGAUCAAUCCAAAGCAGCUUGGGGAAGAUUGGCCUUUGAUGUUGGAGAAAAUUUCUAUGCGUGCCUUUGAGGAAUAAUCAAUUGCAAAGGCUUUAUUUAUCCUCAGCCAUCCUUUUGGCUGGUCUUGUUCAAGUCCAAAGGACUUUAAAUUUUACCUGGGAUGUCUUCCUGUUCAGCCCUUCUUGCUGGGGUAUACUUGAUCACACUCCCAUUGGGUUCAGGCUCCAAGAUUCCAUGCUAAAAUAUUGUAACAACCGGGGGAACCUCCGACUGCACAUGAGUUCCUUGCCCAUUGCCUGCUCCAUUUAGGAAGUUGAAUUAACUCGACUAGAAAAGGGGAAGCUUUCAGCCAGAAUGCCCAUAAAAAAGGUUGUUCUGUUGCAUUUUUAGCAUUCAUGUUAGCCCCAUUUGCCACUACCUUGUAACUUAGCCUUUUCAUGUAACUUAUUUUUGAGAGAAUCAGAAAAGUUUUGCAGGGAUACUGUCAAUUAGUUUGGUGAAAGAUGGAACACCUGGGUGAGAGCUUCAGAUAAAUGUGAAUGUAUAUGUGGGAGAAGUUCAAGUCUCAGGAGCAGCACAGCCUGAUUUCGAGGUCUCUGCAACUGGAUAUCCAGCUUACUACCGAACAAAUCAACGUUCUACAAAUGCCACGACGAAUUGGAUGAGGACAAUUCUCAUUAAAAGGUAACGUCAUGAUUGAACUUUGAAGUAGACAAAAGUACAGGACCAUUUUAACUCGAAAAGUAUCUGUUCUUCUGAGAAAUAGAAAUUAGCUCCACCUGAUUUUGUGGUUGUCUGUUGUUUUAUCGCAAGUGCUUUGGCUGAUCAUAAUUGAUUUGUGUUCUUCUGAGAGGUUGCCUCACAAUUUUCUUCUGACAUUGCUUGUGCUUGCUUGUCAGUAAUGUAUAUUCGUCAAUUUUUAGCUGAACGUGCGUUCAUAUUAUUUUGAAGUAACUAUUGCUGAGUACUAUAAACUUCUUGAGUCUGUCUCAUUGGAAAAAAGAACUUCAGAGUUUGUAAUGCACAAGGGAAGGAAUCAAUGAAGCAAUCAAGACGAAGUGGCGAAGUUCAUAUCUCAUGGACACGGCUUAGAGAACUGCAGUCUUUGUUCCUUGCUGUACAUACCUACAGUGGCAUGCUUAUUUUAAAGGUAAAAUCAGAAUUCUUUGAAAAUUUGGAUAUUGUCCAGCUAUGUUAUCCUAGUUUUUGUUUUAUCUUGUUUCUUGAUUCCCAUUUAUAUGUUGUGUUCGCUUUUGGUGUUCAGGAUGAUCAUGUUGCUCUGUGCAGCAAAUUCUGGUUUCAUUUCACUCACUCAGCUAUGUCUAUGCUUUCUGCAUCAUGUAAGUCAAUUUUGAUGUUAAUUUGUCUUGCUUUGUUUGUGGGAUGAAGGAAGCAUUUUGAUAGCUCAAAGGAAGGAAAAGAAAUUACUGUAAGCAAAUCCUAAUGUUUUGAUUGACUCGUAUCCACUCUGUAGACAUAGAUUUUGAUGCUUUGACGAGAUAUUCAAAUGAUGUAGAAGUCACUCUUUUUAAGAUUGUCUCAAAUGAUCGUUUGAAAGGGACAAAAGAAACAUUUGAUCUCUAGCAAACCUCUCAAUAAGAUUAUUUGAAGUUCUGACCAUCUAUCAGAGAAAAAAGAAUGAAUGGGUCUAGUAAGAUUUUCGAGAAAUUUUUUGAUUUCUUUCGGAAGCGGAUGUGAUUAUUGAACUACCUUCUCACAUUUUGUAAGUAGCUGGAACAUUGAGGUGUUCGGAUUUAUACUUUAACUAGUCAAGCUAUAUUGAAGCCCCGUAUUCUUGUUUGUCGUUUUAUUCAUUUUUCAAAUUGUGGCUAAGCCAAUUAGGGAGACUAAAAUGGAUUGGAUUGAAUUGACAGGAGCCUUGGUAAUGAACUUGUUCGGAUGGCUUCACUCUUGUCUAUAAAGACCUUACAUGCAGUCUCUUAUACUCCGAAAGGGAAGCGUUGAACUCAACGCAGUCUUAAGCUAAUGUCUGAUCGUUGAUUCCCAUAUGCGUUCUUCUUUGCUAUGAUAUAUAACCCCUGAAGUUUGUCCCUUUUUAUUGUAU